Molecule: transfer RNA, 78 nt
Filed under: Tannerellaceae bacterium
Lineage: Bacteria; Pseudomonadati; Bacteroidota; Bacteroidia; Bacteroidales; Tannerellaceae
Description: tRNA-Thr
Rfam family: tRNA
About the family: Transfer RNA (tRNA) molecules are approximately 80 nucleotides in length. Their secondary structure includes four short double-helical elements and three loops (D, anti-codon, and T loops).
Source: RNAcentral
GCUUCUUUGGCUUAGGCAGGCCAGAGCACGUGGUAAGUAAUCACGGCGGCGUUGGUUCGAAUCCGACAAGAAGCUCCA